GUGCUGCUGUCCGGCGAGCCCCGGCUGUUUAUAUAAUAUUUCUAUCUCAGCUAUCUAUCUAUCCGCACGAGGCGGGAACUCGGCCUGCGGGCGCUGCGGCGCGGCCUGGUGUAUUUAAGAGACCUGUUCCGCACGGCAGUCAUUUAUCGAGGCAUCUGUCUCCAUUAAGGGCACGGAAUCUGUCUGCCAUUGCCUGCUGACAUCCAAAGCACACGGGAGAUGAGACUAAGGAGGAAACACGCCAACAUACAGGAAUGGAUUCUGCCCAAACCUGGGGUAGGAAAUGCCACCAAAGACAUCAGAACUUCAGUGUCUUAAUGUAGCAGGAAGAUGGAUUUGUUGCAUUCUGAAAAAGAAUUAUUCACAGAAUAGGAAGAGAAUGACCAAAAGAAAGACUGUGCUUUACUGUCUUGAAAACUGACUGAAAUAAAAUCUUUUUGUGCUUGACGAUGCACUAGCCAUAGCACAGUCUAUGGUUUGAUCUGUUGUACCAGGAUAUUGUGGAGCUGAUAUAUGUUGUCUAAAUUUAAUUUUUCCCUGUAGAAAGAAUAAAUGUAAGUUUGAUGACUCCUCUGUGCUUUAAACCAGCACUAAUCUUAGCCUUAAAUACUGCAGCUUAAGCUUAUAUGUGCUAUCCGCACAGGGAGAAACAUAUGUGGAUAUGAACAGUGCUUGGUUUAUUUAGAGAUCAGCUAACAGACGUAUCUAGGCUGGUUACUCUUAUAUGUUACCUACUGAAAAAAUAUCUAUGCUUUUUUUCUGGUGUUUGGAUAUUUGGCUUCAACCACUGAAAUGUUGUUAGCUGUUGUAUGCUCAAUUGCACUCAGAUGGCAUAACAAACAUUGAUUCCUGCUUGUACAUAUAACAUCAACUGUUUUGUAUUUCAAUAUAAUUUUUUCUUUUCUGACAGUAGCAUUCAAGCAAUUCGUUCUCAUGACCUGUGUUUGGCCUGCAAGCUAGCAGGAGGUGAGGUGGAAGACACCACCGCAGGUAUUUUGUUUAAAACAGUGUCCUUUUCAAUUUACGUCUGCAUGCACUGGAGUGGAAGAGUGAUUUCUAUUCUGCCCUGAAGAGGUGGAUCAAACCUGUUGCACAGGGACAUAAACUUCGCUCAGUUUUAUCAGUCUGACUCUAGCUUGAUCUUCACGGGACGUUCCUCUUCCCAGUAUGAAUGUAUUCAGGCGACUGGUACCUGAUGGAAGAGUUACUCGAAAUAACCAUCAUCAUUGUGAUCCAUUUAUAAUCGAAAUAUGAAAUCUAACCAUCUGUAGCCCAGCACACAUACCUUAGGAUUGUUUUUCAGGUGCUAAAUUCAUCCUUUCAUGAUAGAAAACCACGAUCUUCUGGGGCUGGAAUUCCUGCAGGCUGCUUCAGUUCCAUAUGAAGUUAGUUAUUUUGCAUUGAUGAGCUACUUAGUUCUUGAUGUGAUUGUUUUAUGUAUGAGGCAGCAGGAAGAGUACUCAUUCCUCACCUGAGGGGUUUCCCUCCUGUAUUCCUCAAAUGCUUCUUGUCAUCACGGAAAGGCACUUACACAAGAUCUCCAAGUAGAAACUUUUGUGGAAACUACAGUUUCUUACCAGCUGCAACAAAAAAGCAUUACUAAUCUUCACUUUUCUAGUUUAAGGAAGGAAAGCACAGCUCCACUAAGUGGCAGCACUAGGCAUCAUUACUGCCAGCUUUGCUGAAUUAUUUUUGUAUUUGUGAGAUUUAAUAUCAACUGCAGCUCAUGUUGCAAUAAUCAUGCCUCUUUCUUUGCUCACAGGGUUUGAUUUCAUAAUUUCCAGGACAGAUGAAUAAAUUUGUGUUCAGAGAA
Molecule: long non-coding RNA, 1813 nt
Organism: Tyto alba (common barn owl)
Lineage: Eukaryota; Metazoa; Chordata; Aves; Strigiformes; Tytonidae
Exons: 3
Source: RefSeq, a predicted model, not a curated record